AUACGUAGGGUGCGAGCGUUAAUCGGAAUUACUGGGCGUAAAGCGUGCGCAGGCGGUUAUGUAAGACAGAUGUGAAAUCCCCGGGCUCAACCUGGGAACUGCAUUUGUGACUGCAUGGCUAGAGUACGGUAGAGGGGGAUGGAAUUCCGCGUGUAGCAGUGAAAUGCGUAGAUAUGCGGAGGAACACCGAUGGCGAAGGCAAUCCCCUAGACCUGUACUGACGCUCAUGCACGAAAGCGUGGGGAGCAAACAGGAUUAGAUACCCUGGUAGUCCACGCCCUAAACGAUGUCAACUGGUUGUUGGGAAUUAGUUUUCUCAGUAACGAAGCUAACGCGUGAAGUUGACCGCCUGGGGAGUACGGCCGCAAGGUUGAA
RNAcentral lists this ribosomal RNA (375 nucleotides) under uncultured bacterium. RNAcentral's name for it is "bacterial SSU rRNA". It matches the Rfam family "Bacterial small subunit ribosomal RNA", at positions 523 to 898 of the family's 1533-position model. The record is from RNAcentral.